This is a long non-coding RNA of Lolium perenne, 1032 nucleotides long. RefSeq lists it as uncharacterized. The record is from RefSeq and is a predicted model, not a curated record. NCBI's taxonomy places the organism in Eukaryota, Viridiplantae, Streptophyta, Magnoliopsida, Poales, Poaceae.
CGCCGCCCGAGCCGUCGAUCGGCCGAUGCGAUGCGCCCAGCGGCUCGCCGCCCUUAGCGAGGGGAUAAGGACCCCGGCGCCUCCCUCCUUCUCCCCUAUCCCUCUCUCCCCCGUGCCCUCUCUUAUCCUCUCUCUGCGCGCGCCGCUAGAGGCCUCCCCAAGCCUAGCCGUCGACGUCGUUCGCUCCGCCUCGCCCCUGCAUCUUCCUCGCCAAAGGAAUUGGCCGCUGGCGCCCCCAAUCGACGCCAACAACGUCUUCUUCCCCGCAGCCGGCCGAGCUCGCCGUGGCCGCCGCGGCGCCUCCCGACGUCCCCCAGCCUCGCUGACCCCUCCACGACGCUCGUGAGCAAGUGCCCGAGAAGAUGAAGAUCGACGAAGACGCAACUCAAUACUUGUCCAUCGACGAACAAGUCAAGCAUGGGAUCUCCGAAGAUCCACUUUUGUUUGUCAGGUGCUACUGACAACACCAACCACACCAGCAGACAUGACCAAGAAGAUCACAGAAGCUUCACAAGGAUUCGAUUACCUUAUAAGUAUCAAUGGAGUUACAGGUUCACCAGCAACCGUGAACCUGCACCAAUCACAACUCCCUCGAGCGCUGACAGAUGGUGUGCACGAUUUUUUGAUUAUGAAUCUGGUCAUCUCUUAUGUCUUUCUACCACAAGAACAAGAGUCGAACGAGGAGGGGCGUGAGUGUGUGACCAGUGCUAUGGUCUCUGCCAGUCGGAAGCAUGUUGAUACGUCACCUGUCAAGGAGUUGGGACCAAUGAAUCACUCGGGUGUCGAGGGACCUAGGUUGUCUCGUGUCGUUACAAGCACAACCUCUUAACCCGUGACCUCGAUGAUUCGACGAAUAGAUGGAUCAACAAUCUGUGACGCCACAUAGUAGUACGGACAAUUUAAGAGCAUGUAUAAUAGGUCACGUAUUUUUUCGCCCCUUAAAACGUGAGUAGAGGGCUCUGUAUUUACUUUUCGCCGGCCGAAAACUCGUCCGAGCUAGCAGACCCCGUAUCCCCACCCCGUAAAACAGAA